Molecule: transfer RNA, 57 nt
Filed under: Opisthocomus hoazin
Lineage: Eukaryota; Metazoa; Chordata; Aves; Opisthocomiformes; Opisthocomidae
Rfam family: tRNA
About the family: Transfer RNA (tRNA) molecules are approximately 80 nucleotides in length. Their secondary structure includes four short double-helical elements and three loops (D, anti-codon, and T loops).
Source: Rfam by way of RNAcentral
GGCUCAGUCGGUAGAGCAUGUGACUCUUAGUCUCAGGGUCGUGGGUUCGAGCCCCAC